AGUUUAUUUAUAAACUAAACACCUUUACUUCAUAAAACUUAAAUAAAAAAAUCAAUAGGAUGUGCCCAAUGCCAUAGGUAAGAAUCCAGAUUGAAGACUUAUAAUGAGUGGUUGUUAAACUCCUCUUUCAGCACACAUCAUCGCAACCAGUUUAUAGUGGCUGGGUAAUCUCAAGGACCAAUACAGAAAGCACAUCUUCAACAG
RNAcentral lists this long non-coding RNA (204 nucleotides) under Mytilus galloprovincialis (Mediterranean mussel). Lineage: Eukaryota; Metazoa; Mollusca; Bivalvia; Mytilida; Mytilidae. The record is from RNAcentral.